RNAcentral lists this unclassified non-coding RNA (237 nucleotides) under Hevea brasiliensis (rubber tree). The record is from RNAcentral. Lineage: Eukaryota; Viridiplantae; Streptophyta; Magnoliopsida; Malpighiales; Euphorbiaceae.
AUUUAAAAUGGUUGUCAAGGAAGUUUUAUUGUAAUGUCCGUGAUCUUGGUCUAGUUUUCUUCCUUGGAAAUGCAACUUGCACAGGUCCGGUCACCAAAUUGAUCAAUGUGAUGCAAAAAAAUUAUUCAUUGUGUGCUGCUUGUGAAUGUGAGACUUGUAAAUUAAACUGAAUCGGAAAGUGACUUCAAUCAUGGAUAUUAAACAGAUAAAAUGAGCAAAUUAUUUCAUGUUUUUUAU